This 507-nucleotide ribosomal RNA is filed under the name uncultured bacterium. Its description in RNAcentral is "bacterial SSU rRNA". It matches the Rfam family "Bacterial small subunit ribosomal RNA", at positions 34 to 518 of the family's 1533-position model. The record is from RNAcentral.
CGCUGGCGGCGUGCCUAACACAUGCAAGUCGAACGGGGAUUUGUUUCGGCAGAAUCCUAGUGGCGAACGGGUGAGUAACGCGUAGGCAACCUGCCCUCCGGCCGGGGACAACACUCCGAAAGGGGUGCUAAUACCGGAUACGAAGUCUGUGCCGCAUGGUACGGAUUUGAAAGAUGGCCUCUAUUUAUAAGCUAUCGCCGGGGGAUGGGCCUGCGUCCGAUUAGCUGGUUGGUGGGGUAACGGCCUACCAAGGCGACGAUCGGUAGCCGGUCUGAGAGGAUGAACGGCCACAUUGGGACUGAGACACGGCCCAGACUCCUACGGGAGGCAGCAGUGGGGAAUCUUCCGCAAUGGGCGCAAGCCUGACGGAGCAACGCCGCCGUGAGUGAGGAAGUUCUUCGGAACGUAAAGCUCUGUUGUUCCUGACGAACCUCCCCUCUAUGAACAACGGAGGGGACUGACGGUAGGGAACGGGGAAGCCACGGCUAACUACGUGCCAGCAGCGGC